Habropoda laboriosa is the source of this 58-nucleotide non-coding RNA. The record is from Rfam. Lineage: Eukaryota; Metazoa; Arthropoda; Insecta; Hymenoptera; Apidae.
UGGCGUAGCGCGCAAGGCCUCGGCUUGCUAAGCCGAAGGUCCCGGGUUCGAUUCCCGG